This 4104-nucleotide unclassified non-coding RNA is filed under the name Diabrotica virgifera virgifera (western corn rootworm). RNAcentral's name for it is "uncharacterized LOC114328253". The record is from RNAcentral. Lineage: Eukaryota; Metazoa; Arthropoda; Insecta; Coleoptera; Chrysomelidae.
UUUCAGCUUCGAGAUUACACCAGAGAUUACUAAACGAACAUAAGUCCAGAUGUCACAUUUUGACAAUGGUGAAUGGGAAUGAUGGGAUUAUAAAUAUAUUAAAUGUAAUUAAAUAAAACUCAACUUAACUCGAACCCAUGAGUGUCUGUGUGUGUUUCUUGUGCUAGUAAUAUAGUUUCUACGAAACAUAUCAUGUGGAAAUGCCACAAGUGUCACAAACCAGUAUAUUUUGCUGAAAGAAAACAGUCUCUGGGGUAUAACUGGCACCCGGAAUGUCUGCGGUGCGAAGAAUGUGGCAAAAGGCUCAAUCCUGGACAACAUGCAGAACAUAAGGGAGUUCCCUACUGUCAUGUGCCCUGUUAUGGGGCUCUAUUUGGGCCUCAGUUGUUCGGUCACGGAACUAGAGUGGAAUCUCAUAAGAGUUUUGGUGCCCAGAAUAACUCGCCAAAGUUCAAUAAUGGUCCUGUUCUUCCUAGGUCUCAUUUGGAGUCAAAAAUCAAGGUCUAUAAUCAGUUUUAUGAAGGUAAGAGCGGGGAAAUUAGGUCUAGAGAAGUAAAUGGUAGAUUUAUUCUGGAGGGUUCGUUAAGAAUCCAUUGGGGCAUCCAGGGAGUGAUUCAUCUCAAAGAAAAUGAUGACCAGAGGACAGUAGUCACUGUUAGAAAGAGAAAUUCCUACAGAUCACCCAGUCCGGAGUAUGACACUGAUGAUGACAUCCAAAACAUAUCACGGGAUAGCAGUUACAAUGAAAUCUCAAGUUGUUCUGACGAUCUUACAAGGUCUGAUACAGGUAUUGAGAGUGGAUCUGAAUCUUUAGACAUAAGCGUGACUGAUAGUGCUUCUUCCUCUCCCCAAAAUGUUAUAAAAAGUGUGACAUUGCCUUCCAAAUUAGAUGUUAAGAACAUGGAAUGGGACGAACUUGAUGAACUGCUUUGUGUAGAGAGAAAAGUGGAUGUUUCUGAACACAUUUAUCAGACUAUGCCUGUUACCCUACCUUCACAAGUUAGUACUGAGAGUUCAAGUGGUUCUAGCAAUAGUACUAAGACUGAGAGUGUAUCACAGACUAUAAGGAACGACAGCACAGAUGUGACCAUCAGAAAUGACACUACAUACACAGAUAGCACCUUGAAAGCCCCACUUACCAACGGUACUAAUAGUCAAGAAAAAGUUCCUCUUUUAUCUCCAUCUUUAAGCAAGGAGGAUGCUUGGCUGAUGCAGAGCAAUCAUUUGAACAGGUCUAUGUCUGGUCCUGACUGUUUAGGACGUGUUAGGGAUGCCCAAUCACCAGAAUUUGAUAGGAGUAGCAUGGCAAGUAUGGAGUCUACCAUGACGGAGCAGGCAGAAGAAGUCGUGUUGAGAAGACCUUAUAAAGGUUCAACUGCAAUAAAACGAAGACCCGGAAAACGAUUGUCGAGAAGUAAAGUAAAACGUAGAUGCUCCAUCAAUGGCCAUUUUUAUGAUAGAGAAACUAGCUUUUUCACUCCGCCCCACGGCAGUCAGAUGAGCGUGUGGGUCACAUCACUAGUCAAUACCAAUGAAGUUAUCAAUUUGUUGUUAGAGAAAUAUAAGGUGGAAAGCGAUGCACAUAAUUUUGCAUUGUUUGUUGUAAGAGAUAAUGGAGAACAACGCAGACUGAAAGAGGACGAAUACCCUCUCCUAGCAAGAGUCCUAUUGGGACCUCACGAAGAUGUCGUCAAACUGUAUUUGAUGGACAGCCAUAACACCCCAGAGGUCAGUUGUGAAGUAGCGCAAUUUUUGAAUCUCACUCUAGCAGAAUGCCGCGCCAUUUUGUCGCAAUACUACUCUCAGGAGGAGCGGGAAGUAGCCCGAAUCAAACAGAAAUACGAAGAGAUGAAGUGUAGAAUUUCUCGCAAAUUACACGAAGUCAAGUUCACAGUGUCUUGAUGUUUGUCUAUUUAUAUUUUGUUACGUCUCAUUUAUAUUUAACAUUUUCUUUUUUAUAUACAAUAAUUUUGUAAUACUUAUUAACCCAUUUUUAGAUGUUUUAAGUUAAUUAUUUUUUAUAUCAUUGUGUUUUUGUCUUUUUUAUACUUAUUGUUACGUGUUUAUACUUUUUUUAUAUAUCCUAUUAAUUUAUACUGGGCCUAAUAUCGUACGAAUUGAACUAAAUAUUGGAAUUAUUGUCCUUUUCAUGAGCAUUUUUCAGUGCGUAACAAAUGAUAGGAAAAAGGGUAAGUCCGUGAUAAUACACAUUUAUGACAUUUAUUCUAACAUGACAUUUUAGUUAAAUCUGACAGUUGUCACAUUUUAUUUUCAAUUUGGAAUAAAAACAAAUCAAAUGUGUUUCUUGCAUUUAUAAAAUGGUAUUUUCUUUGAUUUGUAGAGUCUUAUAAAUUAUACAAAUUAUAUUUGUAAUAUUAUUAUCUAAUUAAAAAAAAAUUUUUUUAUUAUGGCGCCAUCUAUCGACAACUAGAAUAACUAGAAUAAAUGUUGUAAAUGUCUGUAAUCACGGACGUGCCUUUUUUUCUGUCACAUACAAUUUAAUGCGUUAGAAAGAAAUCGAAAAACUGUGACGCACUGAAAGAUGAUCAUGAGAAAAAGAAUACCCUCCAAAUUUGCAGUAUAGACCAUUCUAACAUGCUGUCAAGAUUAUGUCAAUAUGGCGGCUGGGGGGAAACAUAAAUUUAUUCUAUCAGUUCUUAAUGUGUUUUAGAUCAUUUUAGUUGCAUUUAUUUGUAGUUUUGUUUUGUACAAGGAUUAAUUUAACAUUUUUACUGGAAUAAUCGAUAGUAUGCUUCAUUUCUGUUGUGUUUUGAAGUGCGUAAUGCGAAAUAAUCGUGAUAAAGUUCAGUUUUAUUGAUUACCAUCAGUGCUGCGUUUUAGACAGAAAACCAACUAAAUAAGUUAUGAUCUGAGAGGCAAAAAAAAUUUAAUAAUAAAGCUAUAAAAUUUCCUAUCAUAAUGCUAAGUAACUAACUAGGGUACAGUUCACCAAAUAUAGCUGAAAGUGAAAAUAACUACUAUCAUGAUGCGCAUUCGUCAAACGACGGACCUCGCACUCGCACUGACUGUCCACACCAUUUAUAUGUGCGUUCUCACUUCAUUGUUAGCGCAAGCAAUGGGAAUUUCACACUUUCAGCUAUAUUUGGUGAACUGUACCUACAAACAACAUCUGUAUUGUCUGCCAACAACUUUCGAAAAUAAUCACUUAUUUUUAUUUAUUCACUGUUUAAAACUAAAUAAAGUCGUUCAAGUACUUCUACAACUAAAAACUACACAAAAUCAACAACAAAAUGUUCUCAAACUACAAUUAGAAAACUAUUAAAAGUGGUAAAAAUUUAAGAAACACAAUAUCAAAAAAAUAUAAACAAAUAAAAUACGUUCGUUCGUGGAGCCUGACGCGGAGUUUUAAUCAUGGCAUGCUCCGCUUUUCGUCCUGACUGUCUAUGCGAAUACACUUAUUAAUUGACCAUUCCAAAUCACGUGAUAUAAUAUGGCCGGAGGAGGGCAAAAAUUUAAUAAUAUAGGGUUUACAUCAGUUUUUGUAAAGAAUAUCCUGUUUGGUUUUGUUUUUUAUUGUUAAUUGUGCAGCGAAAUUGUGAUAGCAAAUAAAUAUAAAGUAGUUUAUCGCCUACAGAACUGAAUUAUCCCAUAGUUGUUAUUGGCACAAACUGGUAACUACUAUGGGAUAAUUUAGUUCUGUAGGCGAUAAACCACUUCAUAUUUAUCCCAAUUUCGCAGAUUUCCCUACACAAUUAACAAAAAAAAAACAACCAAACAGGAUUUUCUUUACAAAUUAAUGUCGAUGUAAACAGUAGAUUUUGCCCUCCUCCGGCCAUGUUCGACAGUUCAUUGGAAUGCCUAAUUUCCUCCCAGCGGUGACAUAAACGUCAAAAUCCUGAAAUGGCCUAUAUGUUUACAGGUUAGGUUAAUGAACCUUUUGUUUUAUAUAUAUUUGGUUCAAUUCGUAUGCCAAUGCCCUAUUGUGAACGUAUACUCGUAUAAAAUACGAAUUUUUGUUUUACGAAUUUAAGAAGUAGUCAAUUGAUGAAGAAACCCAGCGAAUAUGAGAGUUUUAGAUCAGAAGACUGUAAUAAAUUAAAAAUAGAUGUAAUAUCUUAAUAAUAUAUUAAAUUCAAACUGUUA